AGUGAACGCUGGCGGCAGGCCUAAUACAUGCAAGUCGAACGGCAGCACAGCAGAGCUUGCUCUGUGGGUGGCGAGUGGCGGACGGGUGAGGAAUACGUGGGAAUCUGCCCAGUCGUGGGGGAUAACGUAGGGAAACUUACGCUAAUACCGCAUGCGCCCUUCGGGGGAAAGCCGGGGACCUUCGGGCCUGGCGCGAUUGGAUGAGCCCACGUCGGAUUAGCUAGUUGGCGGGGUAAAGGCCCACCAAGGCGACGAUCCGUAGCUGGUCUGAGAGGAUGAUCAGCCACACUGGAACUGAGACACGGUCCAGACUCCUACGGGAGGCAGCAGUAGGGAAUAUUGGACAAUGGGCGCAAGCCUGAUCCAGCCAUGCCGCGUGAGUGAAGAAGGCCCUCGGGUUGUAAAGCUCUUUUGUCCGGAAAGAAAAGCGCCGGGUUAAUACCCUGGUGUCCUGACGGUACCGGAAGAAUAAGCACCGGCUAACUUCGUGCCAGCAGCCGCGGU
RNAcentral lists this ribosomal RNA (504 nucleotides) under uncultured bacterium. RNAcentral describes it as "bacterial SSU rRNA". It matches the Rfam family "Bacterial small subunit ribosomal RNA", at positions 29 to 521 of the family's 1533-position model. The record is from RNAcentral.